UACGGGGGGAGCAAGCGUUGUUCGGAUUUACUGGGCGUAAAGGGCGCGUAGGCGGUAGCACAAGUCAGUUGUGAAAUCUCCGGGCUUAACUCGGAAAGGUCAACUGAUACUGUGCGACUAGAGUGCAGAAGGGGCAACUGGAAUUCUCGGUGUAGCGGUGAAAUGCGUAGAUAUCGAGAGGAACACCUGCGGCGAAGGCGGGUCUCUGGGCCGUAACUGACGCUGAGGAGCGAAAGCAUGGGGAGCGAACAGG
RNAcentral lists this ribosomal RNA (253 nucleotides) under uncultured bacterium. RNAcentral describes it as "partial 16S ribosomal RNA". It matches the Rfam family "Bacterial small subunit ribosomal RNA", at positions 524 to 776 of the family's 1533-position model. The record is from RNAcentral.